RNAcentral lists this unclassified non-coding RNA (377 nucleotides) under uncultured Actinomycetes bacterium. RNAcentral describes it as "uncultured actinobacterium contains 16S-23S intergenic spacer region". Lineage: Bacteria; Bacillati; Actinomycetota; Actinomycetes. The record is from RNAcentral.
UCGCGGCUUAUCACCGGCAGUCUCCUUAGAGUGCUCAACUAAAUGGUAGCAACUAAGGACGGGGGUUGCGCUCGUUGCGGGACUUAACCCAACAUCUCACGACACGAGCUGACGACAGCCAUGCACCACCUGUGCACUGGCCCCGAAGGGCUACCGGGUUUCCCCGGUAUUCCAGUGCAUGUCAAGCCCAGGUAAGGUUCUUCGCGUUGCGUCGAAUUAAUCCGCAUGCUCCGCCGCUUGUGCGGGUCCCCGUCAAUUCCUUUGAGUUUUAGCCUUGCGGCCGUACUCCCAGGCGGGGAACUUAAUGCGUUAGCUGCGUCACGGAAUCCGUGGAAUGGACCCCACAACUAGUUCCCAACGUUUACGGGGUGGACUAC